UCACAAGUCAAGACAAAAUUUUCAAAACUUAAAUUCUUGAAUUCUUAAACUUAAAUCUUAUUGGUAAAUAAUUGAUGACGAUAGCUUUCGGGAUAGUCUGGAUGGUUCAAUACAUUUCAUAGAUUUCAUAAGGUGAAAUUAAUUGUUUUGUGGUCAAUCACAAUGGCCGGUUGUUUAUGUCGUCUCAUCGGAUAAUAAAGUAAGUGGAGGACGAUUUCAUCAUUGCCAUUGGGUCCAUCCGAACAUCCAGCAAACAACCGAAAGACUUCUCCAAAACCGGAAUCACAAACACUAAUGAUACUGUAUAGGAUGUGUAAAGCAAAAGUGGGUGGUAAUCCAGUUGCAGCAAAACUAUCACAACCACUUUGAGAGGAAUACUGCGGAAUCGGCGGAAUCACGCACACUCUAUUCAUUUGGAGAAGUAAAUACUCAACCAAGAGCUGUUGAAAAUAAACAAUUUUUCGUACGAGAUGCCCGACAUCCCGGGAUUCGAAUAUGAAAAGACCAGAAUUGACGACGACGAUGAGUCUUCUGGUGAAAUUUAGGGAAUACGUUCUGCUACGACAGCAGCCGGAUAGUACAGUAGACAAUCGGCAGUCCUAGUUUCGAAAAGCGUGGCCUGUACAACAACCUCAGCACAAUCGAGAUCAUUCCGCAGCUCAACAACAGUAUUCCCAGCACCGGACACCUCAUUCAUGUACCAAUCGACUCGGGAGAGAAAACACGCUUCUCGUCAUCAAAACUUUCGGGAUCGAAUCGCCAUAUUUGGUACUCCUGGUCUGACAUAAACCCACACCUGAAUUCGUAUUAUUUCGAUGAGCAUAAGCUACACAGCAGCGGUAACAGAAACAUCAACUGCACAGACCGCGGUUGGAUCGUAACAUCUCCCGCUCACAUCGCAACAUCAAGUGCCUGUCUAUCGCAAUCUAUCGCAAGUUUGACCUUUUAGAUACGAGGCGAACAUGAAGCACUUGUUAAAAACGGUGUCCAACGCCGUUGUGUUAGGAUGAUGCUGCCCUCGAUGCUGCCUUUUCACUUACAAUGACCUGCAAAGUCAGAGUCAGUCACAUCUUCUUUUUGAUGAACUAAUAGCAGCUGCCGUUGUCCACAAUCUGGAUGAAAAGACCACCAGCGAGUAAAACGUUAUGUUUAUCACUCUUGGUGGCGGUUCUAUUGAUGAGUCAAUCCUGUCAAUCGAUGAUAGCAUCUUCAAAGUCUGCAGCCGAUGACACCCAUCUUGGCGGUAAGGACUCUGACUACCGAUUGUCUUCACCGGCAGGGGUUGAAAAUGAAUUGAUCUUCGAGGGCACCAACUUCACCCAAUGAUUGCUGGAAGUCUCCGUAAUAAAGAUAAUAAAAAAUAAAUAAAAUAAAAUAAAUCUUAUUCAAUCAAUCUCAAUCUAUCAAUCGAACACACUCGAUAAAUAUCAAUCAUUCAAUCAAGCUCAGUCAAUUAAUUCCGAAAAUCAA
Molecule: long non-coding RNA, 1470 nt
Organism: Armigeres subalbatus
Lineage: Eukaryota; Metazoa; Arthropoda; Insecta; Diptera; Culicidae
Exons: 3
Source: RefSeq, a predicted model, not a curated record